RNAcentral lists this ribosomal RNA (465 nucleotides) under Tuber sp. Pr-10-6-31. RNAcentral describes it as "eukaryotic LSU rRNA". The stretch from base 49 to 201 matches the Rfam family "5.8S ribosomal RNA". The record is from RNAcentral. Lineage: Eukaryota; Fungi; Ascomycota; Pezizomycetes; Pezizales; Tuberaceae.
GGGUCCUUAAAUCAAAUUAUGCUGAAAGGCUGGCGAUCUUAACUUUUAAAACUUUCACAACGGAUCUCUUGGUCUCGCAUCGAUGAAGAACGCAGCGAAAUGCGAUAAGUAAUGUGAAUUGCAGAAUUCAGUGAAUCAUCGAAUCUUUGAACGCACAUUGCGCCCUUUGGUAUUCCAUAGGGCAUGCCUGUUCGAGCGUCACUAAAAACCUCAUCACAAAGAGUGUGGUAUUGGCAGAAGUGGGUAGGGCUAGCAAGGAAGUGCUGGCCCCACUCUGCUGGAAUGAAUAGGCCGGAAAUGUAGACCAUGGUAACAGACUUUCAGAGUAUCGUCAAAUGCUAAAUUAGUUUGUAUGCUUGGUCAGAAUCUAGGCCAUUGGACCCCCAUUCUGUAUAAAGCAGCAAUGUUGACCUCGGAUCAGGUAGGGAUACCCGCUGAACUUAAGCAUAUCAAAAGCCGGAAGGA